RNAcentral lists this ribosomal RNA (455 nucleotides) under uncultured bacterium. Its description in RNAcentral is "SSU rRNA". It matches the Rfam family "Bacterial small subunit ribosomal RNA", at positions 26 to 518 of the family's 1533-position model. The record is from RNAcentral.
AGAAUCAACGCUGGCGGCGUGCCUAACACAUGCAAGUCGCACGAGAAAGGGACUUCGGUCUUGAGUAAAGUGGCGCACGGGUGAGUAACACGUGAAUGAUCUACCCUCGAGUGGGGAAUAACUGAGAGAAAUCUUAGCUAAUACCGCAUAAUACCCACGGGUCAAAGCAGCAAUUCGCUUAAGGAGGGGGUCGCGGCCGAUUAGUUAGUUGGCGGGGUAAUGGCCCACCAAGACUAUGAUCGGUAUCCGGCCUGAGAGGGCGCACGGACACACUGGAACUGAAACACGGUCCAGACUCCUACGGGAGGCAGCAGUGGGGAAUUUUGCGCAAUGGGGGAAACCCUGACGCAGCAACGCCGCGUGGAGGAUGAAGUCCCUUGGGACGUAAACUCUUCGAUCGGACGAUAAUGACGGUACCGAGAGAAGAAGCCCGGCUAACUCGUGCCAGCAGCCGC